AAAUUGAAGAGUUUGAUCAUGGCUCAGAUUGAACGCUGGCGGCAGGCCUAACACAUGCAAGUCGAACGGUAACAGGAAGAAGCUUGCUUCUUUGCUGACGAGUGGCGGACGGGUGAGUAAUGUCUGGGAAACUGCCUGAUGGAGGGGGAUAACUACUGGAAACGGUAGCUAAUACCGCAUAACGUCGCAAGACCAAAGAGGGGGACCUUCGGGCCUCUUGCCAUCGGAUGUGCCCAGAUGGGAUUAGCUAGUAGGUGGGGUAACGGCUCACCUAGGCGACGAUCCCUAGCUGGUCUGAGAGGAUGACCAGCCACACUGGAACUGAGACACGGUCCAGACUCCUACGGGAGGCAGCAGUGGGGAAUAUUGCACAAUGGGCGCAAGCCUGAUGCAGCCAUGCCGCGUGUAUGAAGAAGGCCUUCGGGUUGUAAAGUACUUUCAGCGGGGAGGAAGGGAGUAAAGUUAAUACCUUUACUCAUUGACGUUACCCGCAGAAGAAGCACCGGCUAACUCCGUGCCAGCAGCCGCGGUAAU
This 534-nucleotide ribosomal RNA is filed under the name Escherichia coli. Its description in RNAcentral is "bacterial SSU rRNA". It matches the Rfam family "Bacterial small subunit ribosomal RNA", at positions 1 to 524 of the family's 1533-position model. The record is from RNAcentral. Lineage: Bacteria; Pseudomonadati; Pseudomonadota; Gammaproteobacteria; Enterobacterales; Enterobacteriaceae.